RNAcentral lists this ribosomal RNA (253 nucleotides) under uncultured bacterium. RNAcentral's name for it is "partial 16S ribosomal RNA". It matches the Rfam family "Bacterial small subunit ribosomal RNA", at positions 524 to 776 of the family's 1533-position model. The record is from RNAcentral.
UACGGGGGGGGCAAGCGUUGUUCGGAAUUACUGGGCGUAAAGGGCGCGUAGGCGGGCGGGCAAGUCUCUCGUGAAAGCCCACGGCUCAACCGUGGAAUUGCGGGAGAUACUGCCUGUCUUGAGUCCGGGAGAGGAGGGUGGAAUUCCCAGUGUAGCGGUGAAAUGCGUAGAUAUUGGGAGGAACACCGGUGGCGAAGGCGGCUCUCUGGACCGGUAAUGGCGCUGAGGCGCUAAAGCUAGGGGAGCAAACGGG